RNAcentral lists this ribosomal RNA (353 nucleotides) under uncultured bacterium. RNAcentral describes it as "bacterial SSU rRNA". It matches the Rfam family "Bacterial small subunit ribosomal RNA", at positions 917 to 1270 of the family's 1533-position model. The record is from RNAcentral.
GGGCCCGCACAAGCGGUGGAGUAUGUGGUUUAAUUCGAUGCAACGCGAAGAACCUUACCAGGGCUUGACAUCCUGCGAACCUCUGGGAAACCGGAGGGUGCCUUCGGGAGCGCAGUGACAGGUGGUGCAUGGCUGUCGUCAGCUCGUGUCGUGAGAUGUUGGGUUAAGUCCCGCAACGAGCGCAACCCACGUCUUUAGUUGCCAGCAUUUAGUUGGGCACUCUAGAGAGACCGCCGGUGAUAAACCGGAGGAAGGUGUGGAUGACGUCAAGUCAUCAUGCCCCUUACAUCCUGGGCUACACACGUACUACAAUGCUACGGACAAAGGGCCCCCGUCAAUUCCUUUGAGUACGA